RNAcentral lists this transfer RNA (71 nucleotides) under Loxodonta africana (African savanna elephant). It matches the Rfam family "tRNA". Rfam says of the family: Transfer RNA (tRNA) molecules are approximately 80 nucleotides in length. Their secondary structure includes four short double-helical elements and three loops (D, anti-codon, and T loops). Lineage: Eukaryota; Metazoa; Chordata; Mammalia; Proboscidea; Elephantidae. The record is from Rfam by way of RNAcentral.
GCACUGGUAGUUCAGUGAUAGAAUUCUCACCUUCCAUGAGGAAGAUCUGGGUUAGACUCCCAGCCAAUGAC